Molecule: ribosomal RNA, 355 nt
Filed under: uncultured bacterium
Lineage: Bacteria
Description: partial 16S ribosomal RNA
Rfam family: Bacterial small subunit ribosomal RNA
Source: RNAcentral
CCUACGGGAGGCAGCAGUGGGGAAUAUUGCACAAUGGGGGAAACCCUGAUGCAGCGACGCCGCGUGAGUGAAGAAGUAUUUCGGUAUGUAAAGCUCUGUCAGCAGGGAAGAAAAUGACGGUACCUGACCAAGAAGCCCCGUCUAACUACGUGCCAGCAGCCGCGGUAAUACGUCGGGGGCAAGCGUUAUCCGGAUUUACUGGGUGUAAUGGGGGCGUAGUCGGCGGGGCAAGUCUGGAGUGAAAUGCGGGGGCCCAACCCCCGGACGGCCUGGGAAACUGCGAGGCUGGAGUGAAGAGGAGGGAGGGGGAAUGCGUAGGGUAGCGGUGAAAUGCGUAGAGAUUGGGAGGAAAACC